AGAGUUUGAUCAUGGCUCAGGACGAACGCUGGCGGCGCGCCUAAAACAUGCAAGUCGAGCGAGAACCGGGGCUUCGGCUCCGGGGAGAGCGGCGAACGGGUGCGUAACACGUGAGCAACCUGCCCCGAAGACCGGGACAACACCGGGAAACCGGUGCUAAUACCGGAUGUCCUCACCGGAUCGCAUGGUCUGGUGAGGAAAUGGAUUCCGCUUUGGGAUGGGCUCGCGGUCUAUCAGCUUGUUGGUGGGGUAACGGCCUACCAAGGCGACGACGGAUAGCUGGUCUGAGAGGACGAUCAGCCACACUGGGACUGAGACACGGCCCAGACUCCUACGGGAGGCAGCAGUUAGGAAUCUUGCGCAAUGGGGGAAACCCUGACGCAGCGACGCCGCGUGCGGGAUGAAGGCCUUCGGGUUGUAAACCGCUUUCAGGAGGGACGAAAUUGACGGUACCUCCAGAAGAAGGCCCGGCCAACUACGUGCCAGCAGCCGCGGUA
This 497-nucleotide ribosomal RNA is filed under the name uncultured Actinomycetes bacterium. RNAcentral's name for it is "bacterial SSU rRNA". It matches the Rfam family "Bacterial small subunit ribosomal RNA", at positions 8 to 522 of the family's 1533-position model. Lineage: Bacteria; Bacillati; Actinomycetota; Actinomycetes. The record is from RNAcentral.